AUUGAACGCUGGCGGCAGGCCUAACACAUGCAAGUCGAGCGAGCGGCGGACGGGUGAGUAAUGUCUGGGGACUGCCCGAUAGAGGGGGAUAACUACUGGAAACGGUAGCUAAUACCGCAUACUAUCGGAUAACCCAUAUGGGAUUAGCUAGUAGGUGAGGUAAUGGCUCACCUAGGCGACGAUCCCUAGCUGGUCUGAGAGGAUGAUCAGCCACACUGGGACGGAGACACGGCCCAUACUCCUAGGGAGGCAGCAGUGGGGAAUAUUGCACAAUGGGCGCAAGCCGGAUGCAGCCAUGCCGCGUGUAGGAAGAAGGCCGUAGGGUUGUAAAGUACUUUCAGUGGGGAGGCGUUACCGGCAGAAGAAGCACCGGCUAACUCCGUGCCAGCAGCCGCGGUAAUUC
This 403-nucleotide ribosomal RNA is filed under the name uncultured bacterium. RNAcentral describes it as "partial 16S ribosomal RNA". It matches the Rfam family "Bacterial small subunit ribosomal RNA", at positions 30 to 526 of the family's 1533-position model. The record is from RNAcentral.